This 2749-nucleotide long non-coding RNA is filed under the name Triticum aestivum (bread wheat). Its description in RNAcentral is "long non-coding RNA (TAES_LNC026422)". Lineage: Eukaryota; Viridiplantae; Streptophyta; Magnoliopsida; Poales; Poaceae. The record is from RNAcentral.
GCCUUUUCACCCCAAACCACGUUUGUACCACCUUGGUAUGUCUCGUGGCCUAUUCAGGCCCGGUACUAUCAUGGCAAUUGAGUAAUUUUCACAAUCAGGCAUUAAAGCAACAUGUACACAGGGAAUACAAAAUUUCAUUACACAGGAAUACAAUGUCUACAUAAUUUGCCUUAUCUCACUACUACAUAACAUUGUUCAACACGUAGGAGCACAUAUGGUACUAUUUUAACAAUGUCUUCAUUGCUCCCUCUGAUGGGCAAGUUCUCCAGGUGCGACAACUUGAAUUCCUACAAGAACAGAACAUUACAUGAAUAGAUCAAUCGAGGAGGAAACAGUAAAACAGGCUGAAAGCAUCACACAUACAAAUAAUAACAGCAUACAUUAAUGUAUAACAUAAUAAAAAAUAUCUAUAACCAGGGCUAUUUCUAGCCAACCUGUGUGCAUGAAUCAUAAUAGAUCAAGCAAAAGACAUAUAAACAUCAGCAUAUAGCAAAUAUUAGUGAAAGGGGACAAUUUCUAGUACUCGUCAUGUUUGCAAAGUGAGCAAGAACGAUUAUAUUUCCCUACACAUACUUUCUGACUUUUCCUUAGUCCUACAGUGAUCUGCUCACUCCAAUUCUAUCUACUCAACCCAUUCACAUGCAACAUGGAUAAUCAACUAGCCUCAUCAUUUGAAGCAUCUAGUCAAAUAAGUAAUUGGAAUGCAACAUGGAUAACUAUGCCCUAUGAAACAGUUCACGUAUCAAGAACCAUCAAAGUAAAUAAGGAACUCGUAUAGAACACCAACUCAAUCACCUUCACAGCAAUGAAAUCAUGGAUAGUUCUUCUAUUUAAUUGAAGUUCUCUAAGCUUCUCCCCCCAUUGAAAGCAGUCUACAAAAUAAUUGAGAACAAGGUCAGUGCCAAAAUAUUUCAAACCAUAUAAUUUCUUGCUAAUCUCAUAUACUGUUAUUCAAAAUAAAGAUGUAUUUUGCUGUAAGAUUUUAACGCUAGUACACAAGACAUAAAAAGGUACGAGCAAUCCUUGGUGAUCUGAAGCAGCAGCACAAAAUUUAAACACAGACAAUGCAUGCCAUAUUAAUACCAGCACAAAUAGAGAAAUGCAAAAGGCACCUCAUACUAGUAUGGUGAUCUUCGGCGCAAAUUUUAAGCUCUGUUUCAUGUGGAUAAUUUAUUUGGUUUCAGUAAACAACAACAUGCAGUAUAUAUGAAGGGUUCUUGGUUGCAUAACAGCUGAACUAAUCCCCCAUCUAGGGGGGGGGAUUACAACAGGUUCCUGCAGUACACUAGAUAUGCCAACAUUUUAGACUACUAGUACCUAGAAAUCAUAUGCAACUCUGUUUUUUGCUCUAGCCCAGCCACAAGAUCCUAAAAGAAAUUGUACGUAUCUGGUGCAUUUGACAUAAUAAAGUAGCUCCCGAACAAACAGAAGUUCUGCAUCUUCACAUCCCAAUUGAGGAGGUCUGUGGGAUAACCUACCCUGAGGAGCUCGCCGUGGGAUCUUCUCCAUGGCCAGCCCCCUUCUUUCACAACACCAGAUUGGCCUCUUCACGAACCUACAAAAAUAAAUGCACGCACACAUCGGAUUGGGGGAGACGAGAGGAGGAAGAAGAAGAGAAGAGGAGGAGGAGGGAUGUGUAUGCAAGUGUAUAAGAAUCAAGCAUGAGAUACUUUUCAAAUUACUAUGAACAUUCUUAGUUUCUGGCAGGGGUAUUUUGUACAUGUUGGCAUUAAUUGAAAAAAAUGGAUAUGAACAAGAAGGCGCUACUGCACAAUAAUGAAUGAGAACAAUCAGGUACUGGCAGGGGUAUAUGGCUGCACCAUCGAUCAAUGCAACUGCCACCAACGUAAAUGCAGUAGCAACCUUUCUGAUGUAUUAGUUAAACUGUUAGUCCACUCAGCUAGCAGUAAGCACCUACCGAAACACUUGAAAACUCUCCAAACACAAUGGUAAAGUACAAAGUUCAGAACACUUGUGACUGCUAUAGCCAACUCUGUCAAUUAAGUGGUAUUAAGUAUUAACUGAUAAGAACAAGUGGCCUGAACCAAACUGAACAUACAUACUCUGCUGCCGUAUAAGGGUAUCAGAGGGAUCAAAAAAUGACCCCAACUUUCCUAGUCGAUCUAAUUGCAUCCCAGAUGUAUGGAGAAACAGAUAGGCAGUGUUGUUGAUUAAGCUGCAACUAGAUGUAUCCACGGUCAAGAAAAUGUUGUAAUUAAAAGGUGUCAUGUUCACUUCAGGAGAUCCUCACACAAAAGGAAUGUUGACUUCCUACAUUAUUGUAACUUCUAUGCAAGAGCAUAUGCCCAUUAACAAGAUUACCAACAACUACAAUGCAAAUUAAUUCCAGAUAUUUUGUCAAAACAAUGAAGAACAGGGAAUAGGGAACAUCCGUCAGUAGAUCCAAGCAUAACUAAUACAGUAUGUUACUGCAGACCAAAUCACACAAAUGUCUUCUAAUUUAGCUGCUAGGCACAACAGAAUCUGUAUGGGCAGUGCCACACUUCACAUCCGUCAGUAGAUCCAAGCAUCAGAUCAAAUCAGACAAUUUCAAAGCCAUAAUCUCAAGAUGGCAAUGCUUAAUUGAGGAUUAAUCUCAUGUACGCGGAGAAUAAAUCAUACUGUACUUGGCUACAGUUUGGCUUACCUCGUCGUCGCCGCCGGGGGUCUACUUAGCGGCGGCCACGGCGAGCAAAGGGUGAACUUGGCCGGGGCACCAGGAAGGGAGGCACUGUCGCCUCACUUANNN